UAAAAGUGAAAGUCAGCAGCUCCAUUUUGUGACGAGAUUUCCCGGAGUAAAAACACAAGUUUAAUUUACCACACGAAUGUUGGAGUGAAGUAACCGUGUGUCCUGCUGUAAUCUGGAGAAGGAGACAUGACCUCCAACAUGAGUGUGUCUGGAAAACAGGACUUGAAGAAAGACGAGAGAAUGAUGGAGGGAAAGACAUCAGACUCACCAGAACCCAGCUGUGUGUCCAUGAAGAGUGACCAGUCAAUGGGACAUCCAUUACACUUCAGAGACAAAGACAGUUCUACUGAUGUGAGACCACAAAAAUCAAACAUCAGCACAAAUCAGCUGGACUCUAUAUUCAAGG
Long non-coding RNA from Tachysurus fulvidraco (yellow catfish), 346 nucleotides. RefSeq lists it as uncharacterized. The record is from RefSeq and is a predicted model, not a curated record. Lineage: Eukaryota; Metazoa; Chordata; Actinopteri; Siluriformes; Bagridae. The transcript has 4 exons.